Molecule: ribosomal RNA, 161 nt
Filed under: Crotalaria microcarpa
Lineage: Eukaryota; Viridiplantae; Streptophyta; Magnoliopsida; Fabales; Fabaceae
Description: 5.8S ribosomal RNA
Rfam family: 5.8S ribosomal RNA
About the family: 5.8S ribosomal RNA (5.8S rRNA) is a component of the large subunit of the eukaryotic ribosome. It is transcribed by RNA polymerase I as part of the 45S precursor that also contains 18S and 28S rRNA.
Source: RNAcentral
AGACUCUCGGCAACGGAUAUCUCGGCUCUUGCAUCGAUGAAGAACGUAGCGAAAUGCGAUACUUGGUGUGAAUUGCAGAAUCCCGUGAACCAUCGAGUCUUUGAACGCAAGUUGCGCCCGAAGCCAUUAGGCUGAGGGCACGCCUGCCUGGGUGUCGCCCA